Molecule: ribosomal RNA, 252 nt
Filed under: uncultured Hydrogenophaga sp.
Lineage: Bacteria; Pseudomonadati; Pseudomonadota; Betaproteobacteria; Burkholderiales; Comamonadaceae
Description: partial 16S ribosomal RNA
Rfam family: Bacterial small subunit ribosomal RNA
Source: RNAcentral
CGUAGGGUGCAAGCGUUAAUCGGAAUUACUGGGCGUAAAGCGUGCGCAGGCGGUUUUGUAAGACAGGCGUGAAAUCCCCGGGCUUAACCUGGGAAUGGCGCUUGUGACUGCAAAGCUGGAGUGCGGCAGAGGGGGAUGGAAUUCCGCGUGUAGCAGUGAAAUGCGUAGAUAUGCGGAGGAACACCGAUGGCGAAGGCAAUCCCCUGGGCCUGCACUGACGCUCAUGCACGAAAGCGUGGGGAGCAAACAGGA